ACGUAAACAACCUGCCUUCAGGAUGGGGACAACAGACGGAAACGACUGCUAAUACCGAAUAAGUUCCAAGAGCCGCAUGGCCCAUGGAAGAAAAGGUGGCCUCUACCUGUAAGCUAUCGCCUGAAGAGGGGUUUGCGUCUGAUUAGCUGGUUGGAGGGGUAACGGCCCACCAAGGCGACGAUCAGUAGCCGGUCUGAGAGGAUGAACGGCCACACUGGAACUGAGACACGGCCCAGACUCCUACGGGAGGCAGCAUG
This 257-nucleotide ribosomal RNA is filed under the name uncultured bacterium. Its description in RNAcentral is "partial 16S ribosomal RNA". It matches the Rfam family "Bacterial small subunit ribosomal RNA", at positions 115 to 353 of the family's 1533-position model. The record is from RNAcentral.